UGCCAGACUCCUACGGGAGGCAGCAGUGAGGAAUAUUGGUCAAUGGACGCAAGUCUGAACCAGCCAUGCCGCGUGCAGGAAGACGGCUCUAUGAGUUGUAAACUGCUUUUGUACGAGGGUAAACGCAGAUACGUGUAUCUGUCUGAAAGUAUCGUACGAAUAAGGAUCGGCUAACUCCGUGCCAGCAGCCGCGGUAAUACGGAGGAUUCAAGCGUUAUCCGGAUUUAUUGGGUUUAAAGGGUGCGUAGGCGGUCGGAUAAGUUAGAGGUGAAAUACCGAUGCUCAACAUCGGGGCUGCCGCUAAUACUGUAGGACUAGAGAUCGGAUGCAGCAGGCGGAAUGUGUAGUGUAGCGGUGAAAUGCAUAGAUAUUACACAGAACACCGAUUGCGAAGGCAGCUUGCUAGGCCGGAUCUGACACUGAUGCACGAAAGCGUGGGGAUCGAACAGGAUUAGAUACCCCUGUAC
This 467-nucleotide ribosomal RNA is filed under the name uncultured bacterium. RNAcentral's name for it is "bacterial SSU rRNA". It matches the Rfam family "Bacterial small subunit ribosomal RNA", at positions 329 to 793 of the family's 1533-position model. The record is from RNAcentral.